Molecule: ribosomal RNA, 430 nt
Filed under: Pseudomonadota bacterium
Lineage: Bacteria; Pseudomonadati; Pseudomonadota
Description: Proteobacteria bacterium partial 16S ribosomal RNA
Rfam family: Bacterial small subunit ribosomal RNA
Source: RNAcentral
UGGGGAAUAUUGGACAAUGGGGGGAACCCUGAUCCAGCCAUGCCGCGUGUGUGAAGAAGGCCUUAUGGUUGUAAAGAACUUUAAGCGAGGAGGAGGGUACUGGUAUUAAUACUACCAGGUACUGGACGUUACUCGCAGAAUAAACACCGGCUAACUCUGUGCCAGCAGCCGCGGUAAUACAGAGGGUGCGAGCGUUAAUCGGAUUUACUGGGCGUAAAGCGUGCGUAGGCGGCUAAUUGAGUCGGAUGUGAAAUCCCCGAGCUUAACUUGGGAAUUGCAUUCGAUACUGGUUAGCUAGAGUGUGGGAGAGGAUGGUAGAAUUCCAGGUGUAGCGGUGAAAUGCGUAGAGAUCUGGAGGAAUACCGAUGGCGAAGGCAGCCAUCUGGCCUAACACUGACGCUGAGGUACGAAAGCAUGGGGAGCAAACAGG